Paralichthys olivaceus (Japanese flounder) is the source of this 1207-nucleotide long non-coding RNA. RefSeq lists it as uncharacterized. The record is from RefSeq and is a predicted model, not a curated record. NCBI's taxonomy places the organism in Eukaryota, Metazoa, Chordata, Actinopteri, Pleuronectiformes, Paralichthyidae.
GGCUCACACCGCGCCUCCCUCGUGUUAACUCGUGUUAACUCGUGUUUAGAGUUCAACCUGACAAUAUAAACUAUUUGAAGAGCCGCAGCAGUGUCAGCUCGUGUCCGCCGUGAAGUCCAGUGAAGAGCAUUUCUAAUUGAGGUUGCACAGUUCGUCGUGUUGUUGGGAGUCUGUGUUGCCAGUGUAGACCCAGGGAGAGAAGCUGCGUGUGGAGAGACGACCAGGGGGGAAAUUAGGCAGAGCUCAGCAGCAGCGAAGUGCAGAGCGAGGGAAGGGUUGGAGACACACCAGUGCCAUGUCUUCUGGAUGUUUUCUGGUUUACGCAGAUGGAGUCAGUAAACCCCUAAGGCGAUUUCCAGAUCAAGAAAUGUUCUACAAGGAUCCAUUUAUCGACCCUACACACUGGAAAUGUGAAGGAACCCUCGUUGGUAUCUGAAAGGAGACACCAGUGCUGAUGGAUCCAGACUUCUAUUGUAAUAGAACAAAUUAAGUCAAUGACAUCAUCCGAGCUGCUUUUGAUUAAUGCACGUCUAAUGUUGCCUAUUUUUCCACAUGGCUCUUUGCUGUUUAACCUCCCAGUCUUUGUCUUGUCAUCCCUGUCACCUCCCAUUUCUCACAGUUAAAACAGAAAUGCCAUUCUAUAUAUUUCUUAAUCCUUCAGCAUCACUGCUUUAAAUCAUGUCAUAUGUACUGAAGCAGCAGGAUAAGUGACCAUUUGCUACGUUCCACUCCUCAGUGUUGCUGUUGCUGACUCAGACAAGCAAUACCUCCUGGCAUCGUGCCGACUUGCAAAACAAUGGGAGUCUGUCACUGAUAGUCUCUCAGAGGCCAUAUAGAUAACUUCUGGAAACAAACCACUUCAUCAAAAAUCCACUCCAGAAUGCUUCAAGAUUACAAAUGUAGUAGAAGAUAAGCUGAGGCACUAAUGCACAGGGGUGUUACCUUCAGACCACAAGGAGACUGUCAGCUGACCUUACCAUCUGUUGAUAACUCAAGAAAUCGGUUUAAUAGAGGUUUAUUAAAUUUCAAGCUCGUGGAAAAUGGAGCUGGUAGACUUUGUAUCACAUUGAUCACCAUCAGCUGACCAGUGAUACUUUACUGUCUAUGUUUAGCUACAAAACAGCCACAGUACUGUAUGUCCUUUAUGUUUCUGGAAAAACCAUUGCAAAUUAUUGCCAUAGAAUACAAUGUAUCAAUAAAAAAUGAA